GACGAACGCUGGCGGCGUGCUUAACACAUGCAAGUCGAACGGAAAGGCCCUGCUUUUGUGGGGUGCUCGAGUGGCGAACGGGUGAGUAACACGUGAGUAACCUGCCCUUGACUUUGGGAUAACUUCAGGAAACUGGGGCUAAUACCGGAUAGGAUCUCCUGCUGCAUGGUGGGGGUUGGAUAUUUUCGGCGGUUGGGGAUGGACGCGCGGCUUAUCAGCUUGUUGGUGGGGUAGUGGCUUACCAAGGGUUUGACGGGUAGCCGGCCUGAGAGGGUGACCGGCCACAUUGGGACUGAGAUACGGACCAGACUGCAACGGGAGGCAGCAGUGGGGAAUAUGGCACAAUGGGAGGAAGCCUGAUGCAGAAACGCCGCGUGCGGGAUGACGGCCUUCGGGUUGUAAACCGCAUUCGCCUGUGACGAAGCGUGAGUGACGGUAAUGGGUAAAGAAGCACCGGCUAACUACGUG
RNAcentral lists this ribosomal RNA (468 nucleotides) under uncultured bacterium. RNAcentral's name for it is "partial 16S ribosomal RNA". It matches the Rfam family "Bacterial small subunit ribosomal RNA", at positions 28 to 507 of the family's 1533-position model. The record is from RNAcentral.